Molecule: ribosomal RNA, 501 nt
Filed under: uncultured bacterium
Lineage: Bacteria
Description: partial 16S ribosomal RNA
Rfam family: Bacterial small subunit ribosomal RNA
Source: RNAcentral
AUUGAACGCUGGCGGCAGGCUUAACACAUGCAAGUCGAGCGGGGGAAGGUAGCUUGCUACCGGACCUAGCGGCGGACGGGUGAGUAAUGCUUAGGAAUCUGCCUAUUAGUGGGGGACAACAUCUCGAAAGGGAUGCUAAUACCGCAUACGUCCUACGGGAGAAAGCAGGGGAUCUUCGGACCUUGCGCUAAUAGAUGAGCCUAAGUCGGAUUAGCUAGUUGGUGGGGUAAAGGCCUACCAAGGCGACGAUCUGUAGCGGGUCUGAGAGGAUGAUCCGCCACACUGGGACUGGAACACGGCCCAGACUCCUACGGGAGGCAGCAGUGGGGAAUAUUGGACAAUGGGGGGAACCCUGAUCCAGCCGUGCCGCGUGUGUGAAGAAGGCCUUAUGGUUGUAAAGCACUUUAAGCGAGGAGGAGGCUACUCUAGUUAAUACCUAGGGAUAGUGGACGUUACUCGCAGAAUAAGCACCGGCUAACUCUGUGCCAGCCGCCGCCGUAA